Molecule: non-coding RNA, 31 nt
Filed under: Homo sapiens (human)
Lineage: Eukaryota; Metazoa; Chordata; Mammalia; Primates; Hominidae
Source: RNAcentral
UGUAACGAAUGUCAGGAAACAAAGGGACUGC